AAACUCGAUAUCAAGAAAGCU
This 21-nucleotide unclassified non-coding RNA is filed under the name Dictyostelium discoideum. The record is from RNAcentral. Lineage: Eukaryota; Evosea; Eumycetozoa; Dictyosteliales; Dictyosteliaceae.